CCUACGGGCGGCAGCAGUGGGGAAUAUUGCACAAUGGGGGAAACCCUGAUGCAGCGACGCCGCGUGAGUGAAGAAGUAUCUCGGUACGUAAAGCUCUAUCAGCAGGGAAGAAAAUGACGGUACCUGACUAAGAAGCCCGGGCUAACUACGUGCCAGCAGCCGCGGUAAUACGUAGGGGGCAAGCGUUAUCCGGAUGUACUGGGUGUAAAGGGAGCGUAGACGGCAGCACAAGUCUGGAGUGAAAUCCCGGGGCUUAACCCCGGAACUGCUUUGGAAACUGUGCGGCUGGAGUGCAGGAGGGGUAAGCGGAAUUCCUGGGGGAGCGGUGAAAUGCGUAGAUAGUAGGAGGAACACCGGUGGCGAAGGCGGCUUACUGGACUGUAACUGACGUUGAGGCUCGAAAGCGUGGGGAGCAAACAGGAUUAGAUACCCGUGUAGUC
This 440-nucleotide ribosomal RNA is filed under the name uncultured bacterium. RNAcentral describes it as "partial 16S ribosomal RNA". It matches the Rfam family "Bacterial small subunit ribosomal RNA", at positions 338 to 795 of the family's 1533-position model. The record is from RNAcentral.